UAGGGAAUCUUCGGCAAUGGACGAAAGUCUGACCGAGCAACGCCGCGUGCACGAUGAAGGCCUUCGGGUUGUAAAGUGCUUUUUAGAGGGAUGAGGAAGGACAGUACUUCUAGAAUAAGCCUCGGCUAACUACGUGCCAGCAGCCGCGGUAAAACGUAGGAGGCUAGCGUUAUCCGGAUUUACUGGGCGUAAAGCGCGUGUAGGCGGUUUCGUAAGUUGGAUGUGAAAGCUCCUAGCUUAACUGGGAGAGGUCGUUCAAGACUGCGAGACUUGAGAGUGGUAGAGGAAGGUGGAAUUCCGGGUGUAGUGGUGAAAUGCGUAGAUAUCCGGAGGAACACCAGUGGCGAAAGCGGCCUUCUGGACCAUUUCUGACGCUCAGACGCGAAAGCUAAGGUAGCAAACG
This 403-nucleotide ribosomal RNA is filed under the name uncultured bacterium. RNAcentral's name for it is "bacterial SSU rRNA". It matches the Rfam family "Bacterial small subunit ribosomal RNA", at positions 355 to 774 of the family's 1533-position model. The record is from RNAcentral.